This 490-nucleotide ribosomal RNA is filed under the name uncultured bacterium. Its description in RNAcentral is "partial 16S ribosomal RNA". It matches the Rfam family "Bacterial small subunit ribosomal RNA", at positions 30 to 507 of the family's 1533-position model. The record is from RNAcentral.
AUUGAACGCUGGCGGCAGGCCUAACACAUGCAAGUCGAACGGUAACAGGAAACAGCUUGCUGUUUCGCUGACGAGUGGCGGACGGGUGAGUAAUGUCUGGGAAACUGCCUGAUGGAGGGGGAUAACUACUGGAAACGGUAGCUAAUACCGCAUAACGUCGCAAGACCAAAGAGGGGGACCUUCGGGCCUCUUGCCAUCGGAUGUGCCCAGAUGGGAUUGGUUAGUAGGUGGGGUAACGGCUCACCUAGGCGACGAUACCUAGCUGGUCUGAGAGGAUGACCAGCCACGCUGGAGCUGAGACACGGUCCAGACUCCUACGGGAGGCAGCAGUGGGGAAUAUUGCACAAUGGGGGCAAGCCUGAUGCAGCCAUGCCGCGUGUAUGAAGAAGGCCUUCGGGUUGUAAAGUACUUUCAGCGGGGGUGAAGGGAGUAAAGUUAAUACCUUUGCUAAUUGACGUUACCCGCAGAAGAAGCACCGGCUAACUACGUG